Molecule: ribosomal RNA, 575 nt
Filed under: Helicotylenchus sp. III-3
Lineage: Eukaryota; Metazoa; Nematoda; Chromadorea; Rhabditida; Hoplolaimidae
Description: eukaryotic LSU rRNA
Rfam family: Eukaryotic large subunit ribosomal RNA
Source: RNAcentral
CCGAUGAGGUGGAAACGGACAGAGCUGGCGUAUCUGGCCUGCAUUCAGCCGCUGCGCGUUGGGCCCCGGUUUGCCGCACUCCAGAUUGGGAAGGUGGCUGGGCUGCUGUCGUGUCAGCGGUGCAUUUGCAGGUGGAGUGCGCCGAGGCGCCCGGUUCAGCGGCAUGAGCUCAGCUUUGAGGCCAACCGUGCAAACGGUCUGGUACCCGGGCUGGGGGAGUGUUGUUUGGGCUGGGUGUUCGCUUGGGCAAUGGUUUCGGGCCCGGGUGGGUGCCGAGCUGGCGGUCGGCGGCGGUCGCGUGCGACACGUGCCAGCAGUCAGUUCGGUCCUGCUCGAGCUCUCAUCUGUCCGGCCUCGGUGUAAAAGCCGGUCAUCUGUCCGACCCGUCUUGAAACACGGACCAAGGAGUUUAGCGUGUGCGCGAGUCAUUGGGCGUUGAAAACCCAAAGGCGCAAUGAAAGUGAAGGUCUGCCUUGUGCAGCUGAUGUGUGAUCCUGGGCGCUGCGGUGCCCGGGCGCAACAUAGUCCCGUCCCGACUGCAUGCAGUGGGGCGGAGACAGAGCGUACGCGCUGAG